Molecule: transfer RNA, 65 nt
Filed under: Obama sp. MAP-2014
Lineage: Eukaryota; Metazoa; Platyhelminthes; Tricladida; Geoplanidae
Description: tRNA-Asn
Source: RNAcentral
UAAAAUAUAGUGUAAAUUUAAAUAUUUGGCCGUUAACCAAAAGAAAUUCUUUAGAAUUAUUUUAU